GGAGUCUAAAAUGAAAUAAAUAAUUAAAAUACUCAAGCGUGGAGAGCAUUGUAUAGAAUUGUUACUGACCAAGUUGAUACCGCGCUAAAAAAAGCCAUUGAAGAAGCCGCCAGGGAAACCAGGCCCNNNNNNNNNNCAGGUGGCCUCAUUUAGCAGGCUACUAGCACUGUGGUGCCACUGGAAAGAAUGCAAAUUCCAGAAUUUUGCAGGAGACGAGGCAAAGGGAGGCAACAGAU
Molecule: unclassified non-coding RNA, 236 nt
Filed under: Hevea brasiliensis (rubber tree)
Lineage: Eukaryota; Viridiplantae; Streptophyta; Magnoliopsida; Malpighiales; Euphorbiaceae
Source: RNAcentral